UUAAAAAGCUCGUAGUUGAAUUUCUGGUCUUGGACGGCGGUCUGCCUCAAACGAGGUACGUAUCAUCUGUCCGGGUCCAUCCUCGGGGAAAAUAUAUCUGUGAUUCAGUUCAUGGGUAUAGGAUCCUCGUCAUUUAUUGUGAGCAAAAUAGGGUGUUCAAAGCAGGCUUAUGCCGUUGAAUACAUUAGCAUGGAAUAAUAAGAUAAGACCUUGGUCUAUUUUGUUGGUUUGCAUUCCAAGGUAAUGAUUAAUAGGGACAGUUGGGGGUAUUCGUAUUCAAUUGUCAGAGGUGAAAUUCUUGGAUUUAUGGAAGACGAACUACUGCGAAAGCAUUUACCAAGGAUGUUUUCAUUAAUCAAGAACGAAAGUUAGGGGAUCGAAGAUGAUUAGAUACCAUCGUAGUCUUAACCAUAAACUAUGCCGACUAGGGAUUGGUGGACGUUUGUAACGACUCCAUCAGCACCUUGUGAGAAAUCAAAGUCUUUGGGUUCCGGGGGGAGUAUGGUCCGCAAGGCUGAAACUUACAGAAAUUGACGGAAGGGCACCCC
Molecule: ribosomal RNA, 548 nt
Filed under: uncultured marine eukaryote
Lineage: Eukaryota
Description: SSU rRNA
Rfam family: Eukaryotic small subunit ribosomal RNA
Source: RNAcentral